RNAcentral lists this long non-coding RNA (4485 nucleotides) under Canis lupus familiaris (dog). RNAcentral describes it as "lncRNA (ENSCAFG00030009590.1)". Lineage: Eukaryota; Metazoa; Chordata; Mammalia; Carnivora; Canidae. The record is from RNAcentral.
AUCUUUGUCUGGGAGGGGGAUACGACUCCACAAAAUCCAUUUUCUAUUUCUAUUCCAGUUGAUAUAUUCCAGUGGAACCUGAUACAAUUGCUCUAAUGUUAAGGUAAAUGUAGCAAUAAGCUUGAAAAGAAGAGAAAACUUUAAUUUUUUCUCCCUUUUUGUCACUGCUUGGGAGCACCUCAAGUCAGGAUGACCUUAGAUGGUUAUAUAUUUGCAUAAUGGCUUUAUGUUUUGCUGAGCUAAGAAAAACACACAAUAUACAUCCUUUGUUAAAUAAUCCUGCCCUGAAUCCUGGGUCUUGGUAUUAUAGCCUCUGUAAAUAAGGUAAGUCUAAGAAACAUGAAAAAAUCCAUUUCCAUUAUCUGGAAUGGAGUAUUAAUUAGUCAAAUUAUUUUUCAGAGCCUGCAUAGUUGUCCAAGGAGUCUGACAGUGGUCUGUUGGGAGUAUUCAAAACAAUAAAAUUUCUGGAAUAAAAUGGCAGAAGGUGUCAGGAGGGAAGUAGUUGAUGAUAGUAUAUUUUUGUGUUGAUUUAAAAGGAAGAUUUAUGAUAGGAAACUGGCAAACUGAGUAAUGUUUGGAAUUUAUAAACUGUACAAAAGCUUCCCUCUCUGAGCAAGAUCUAUUUCUGGAUUUUAUUUGAUUUUGAUGACAUGGGGGACUCAUGUGGCCAAUAAAAUUUCCCAAGAUCCUGAUAGUUUAUGUUUUAUAUUACAGCGGGUCUUUUAGUGCCUCAGCUGUGGGAGGAACAGGUUCUGGUUCUUGUACCAUAAACUCACACUUUCUAAAUGCCCUUUCCUCUUUGAAUUUCAGAACACGUGACUUGGAACUGAGCUUACGUUUCAGAUACUUAGUAUUCAUCUUUUGAAGGCAAACUUAAACCAGACAUAAAAUAUUUAAUAUUCAUUUGCAACACCUUACACUGUUCUCAUUCAGGGUGAACAUAAUCAGAAUGUAGUCUUUUCUGAAGUAAUCUUUUUUUUUUUUUCCAAAUGUUUGUUCUUUGAAUGGGGCUGUUAACAAAUAUUGAAGCCGUGGACAAUACAUUAACUGCCAAGGAAUGGAAGGAGUGACUCAAAAUAAGAUUCGCUUUAACAUGUGAAAGCUGCUUAUGGACUUUAAAUUCCAUAGAAUUAAAAAAAGUCCCUUUUAGUCUUAACAGUUUUAGUAUCAACUUAGAAAAGCUGUUCAGUUUUCAAUAGUUCAGAGUAAUUUAUUACUAAUUGUGGUUAGAGUAUUGCUUCCUUUUUUUUUUUUUUUUUUUUAUAAGUAGGCACCAUGUCCAGCUUGGGGCUUAAAGUUAAGACCUUAAGAUCAAGAUCUAUGGUGAGAUCAAGAGUCAGAGGCUGAACCAACUGAACCAGCCAGACCCCUAAGGUUGGGGCAUCUUUAAUCAAAGUACUUUGCAGGAUAUUUCUAAAAGCCGAUUUUUUUGUAAUGAUCACUUUGUCCAUUACCUCAAAAUAUUUUCAGCAUUUUGAAUGGCUUAAUAUACAAGAACUUACUUUUCCUGGUUUAGUCUAAUGUCUCCUCUCCUCCUUCCUCUUUCCCCUCACAUCCAGUUCAUCAGCAAGAACCUUCUGCUCCUCAACUACGACUCACGUCAUAUACUCUCUUUGUCUUCACUGUUGUCUCCCAAGUUUAAAUGACCGCAUCCUCCCUUCCUUGCGCUUCUGCAGUAGCAACCUAACAGAAACCCUUGCUUCCACUUUUGUUCCUUCACCCACCAUCUGCCAAGCAGCAUCAGCAUAUAACUUCCUAAAAACAGAAAAACCCAUCACUUUAGGCUUCUGAAGAAAACCAUACCUCUGAAAAGAGGAAUUCUGUGUCAGGAAGUCUCACCAAGGUGUUCUAGAAAACAGGAAUGGCCACCACCAUUUUAUGCUCAAUCCUGUAUAUCUAGCAGGCCUGUAUUGCUACUCAUUUUUUUUCACUUAGUUCCUCUGCACAGAAGAGAACUGCGAUGUUUACCCGUCACGAGUCUGAGCAGGAGCUGCCAAAACAACAACAAAAACCCCAAACUGAUCAAUUCCCAUUGCGCGACUGCAGAGGGUGCUGUCAACAGCAGUGUCUUUACCAUCCCAGGCUGAGUUAAUGGACUGAGUUAAUUAACAACAGUCAUCUUUUUGUUUUGUUUUGUUUUUUUGUUUUUGGUUUACUUGUUAAAUUAGUCAACUCAGAAAAGGUUAAGACGGCUAAGUGAGUGAACCAGGUCCUGGGCUACACAGCUCAAGAAAGGCAUUUCCUGAUCUUGGUAUGUCCACGUGCUGGCCCCGUGUCUCUGUAGCCCCCCAGACAUGUCUCGAGACAACUCAUUUCCCUCCGUCAGCUAGGUUGUACAGUCUCAGUGAAGGGCCUGCACAUCGGUAAUACUGGGUAAUCGGUAGAAAAUACUGAAAAGUCAGGAUAAUUUUCCUGGUUGGAGUGAGAGGUAGACAGCUGUGCGUUAUAGACAAGACAUAGGAUCCAGAGUCAAGAGCUUUUUUUAUUGAUCAUAGGAAAUUAAUACUCAGUUUCUUUAGUGAUAAAAUGCGCAUAAUCAUGCCUCUUUAGAGGGCUGGUCCAAAGAUUACUGAAUGAGAUAAAUGCCUGCAGAGAUAUCUUGGCUGUUUCCUGACCAGAAAAUGCUUAAGAAAUAAUUGGUUGUACGUGACCGGCUGUAGCAAAUUUGGAGGGCUGUGGGUGAAAGCUAGUAGGUUGUGACUUUUGCUCUUCUAAACACUUCGUAGCAUUCUUACCUGAAUCAGCAAAGGGAAUUCCAAACUGAAGUUUCUCAAAAGCUUCUUUUUUUAAAUUUUCUUAGAGAGACGGCAAUAACCAGAAGGGAGAAAAGAAGUGCAAGUGGUUGUGGUAAGGACCCUUGGUUGUGUUUGUGGAAGGGUGGAGAGGUUAUAAGCAGAGUCUGUCAGGAAGUAAGCACCCCCCCCUUUUUUUUGAUCCUUGAGGAUCCAUUUAUUGUUUUUGAAAGGAAAACCAUGUCAGGAGACAUCUCUAGGCUUAUUACUCACUUCCCUUGGGGCCUAGCUUAAUUUCUGUGGUUUUUUUUUUUCCUGUAUAGGUUGAAAUAUUUCCUUGCUUUAAAUCUCUUUCAGGAAGGAUGACAUAUUAACCAAUCAAUUGAUCAUUUUAUUAAUUAAUCAACCAACACAUCUAUCCUUAACUUCCCUAAGUGUGCCCCUUUGCAAUUCCUCCCUCCUACCCUUCCCUGACAUCACUUCCAGGUAUCCCCUAAUAUUUCUCUCACUGUAGAUGUUUGCAUUUUUAUAUAUAUAUAUAUAAUCAUAACAUGUAUUUUUUGAUCUAGUGUCUUUCACUCAUCACAAUUAUAUUUUUCACUCAUCACAAUUAUAUAUAAUUGUAACAUGUAUUUUUUGAUCUAGUGUCUUUCACUCAUCACAAUUAUAUUUUUUUAUUUUUAAAUUUUAUUUAAAUUCAAUUAGUCAUCACAAUUAUAUAUAAUUGUAACAUGUAUUUUUUGAUCUAGUGUCUUUCACUCAUCACAAUUAUAUUUUUUUAUUUUUAAAUUUUAUUUAAAUUCAAUUAGUCAACAUGUUGUUAUUGGUUUCAGAGGUAGAAGUCAGUGAUUCAUCAGUCUUAUAUAAUACCCAGUGCUCAUUAUAUCACGUGCCCUCCUUAACGUCCAUCACCCAGUUACCCAGUGCCCCCACUCCUCUCCCCUAGCAAUCUCCAGUUUGUUUCCUAUGAUUAAGAGUCUCAUGAUUUGUCUCCUUCUCUGAUUUUGUCUUGUGUUUUAUUUUUCAUUCUUUUCCCAUAUGAUCCUCUGUUUUAUUUCUUAAAUUCCACAUAUGAGGGAGAUCAGAUGAUAAUUGUCUUUCUCUGAUUGGCUUAUUUUGCUUAGCAUAAUACCCUCUAGUUCCAUCCUCAUUACUAUAAAUGGCAAGAUAUCAGUUUUUUGAUGGCUGGCAGUCCAUUGUGUGUACACACACAUGCACACACACACACACAUCUUUAUCCAUUCAUCUGUCAAUCGACACCUGGACUCCUUCCAUAGUUUGGCUACUGUGGACAUUGAUGCUAUAAACAUUGAGAUGCAGGGGUCCCUUUGGAUCGCUACAUCUGUAUCUUUGGGGUAAAUACCCAGUAGUGCAAUUGCUGGGUCAUGGGGUAGCUCUAUUUUCAACUUUUUGAGGAUCCUCCACACUGUGUUCCCGAGUGGCUGCACCAGUUUGCAUUCCCACCAACAGUGUGUUGUUUCCUGACUUGUUCAUUUUAGCUCUUCUGACUGGCGUGACACUCGACACAAUUAUUUUAAGAUUCAUCCAUGUUGUAUCUAAUGAUGGAUCAUUCCUUUUUACUGCUGAUAUUCUAUUGUAUAGAUAGACAAGAAUUUGUUCAUUUGUUUGCCUUUUAGUGGAUGUGUGGGUUAUUUCCAGUUUUGUGUUAAUAUCAAUAAAACUUCUAGGAAUAUUUGUGUAUAAGACGUUGUAUGCUUUUUUUCUCUUAGGUAAAUAGCUAGGGGUGAAAUGG